CAGCCGCCGCGGUAAUACGUAGGUGGCAAGCGUUGUCCGGAAUUAUUGGGCGUAAAGGGCUCGCAGGCGGUUUCUUAAGUCUGAUGUGAAAGCCCCCGGCUCAACCGGGGAGGGUCAUUGGAAACUGGGAAACUCGAGUGCAGAAGAGGAGAGUGGAAUUCCACGUGUAGUGGUGAAAUGCGUAGAGAUGUGGAGGAACACCAGCGGCGAAGGCGACUCUCUGGUCUGUAACUGACGCUGAGGAGCGAAAGCGUGGGGAGCGAACAGGAUUAGAUACCCCUGUAGUCCCUGUCUCUUAUAC
RNAcentral lists this ribosomal RNA (301 nucleotides) under uncultured bacterium. RNAcentral describes it as "partial 16S ribosomal RNA". It matches the Rfam family "Bacterial small subunit ribosomal RNA", at positions 509 to 807 of the family's 1533-position model. The record is from RNAcentral.